Molecule: ribosomal RNA, 285 nt
Filed under: Triticum aestivum (bread wheat)
Lineage: Eukaryota; Viridiplantae; Streptophyta; Magnoliopsida; Poales; Poaceae
Description: partial small subunit ribosomal RNA
Source: RNAcentral
AUGAAGCUCCUAUGUUGGAACAUUAGGGGCUUCGGGCUCACUGGACGGAGGCGUCAGCUCAUCGAGUAUUUGCGUCAAGAGGAGAUUGACAUUGUGGGACUUCAGGAGACGAUUCGCCAGGAUUUAGUAUGCAUGAGCUCUAGGGGCUUUCCCGCCACCAGUUUGCCUGGUAGUGGCUGCCUACUAUGGGGCAAUCUAGGGUAUUCUGCUCGGAGUCAGGGAAGAUGCCUUCUCGGUGGAGGAUAUGGAUCGAGGGAAAUUCUUCCUGAGCAUGUCCGUCACUGA